AAACCAACAGGGAUUGCCUCAGUAACGGCGAGUGAAGCGGCAAAAGCUCAAAUUUGAAACCCUCGGGAUUGUAAUUUGAAGAUUUGGCAUUGGAGAAAGCUAACCCCAAGUUGCUUGGAAUAGUACGUCAUAGAGGGUGACAACCCCGUCUGGCUAACCGUUCUCCAUGUAUUGCCUUAUCAAAGAGUCGAGUUGUUUGGGAAUGCAGCUCAAAGUGGGUGGUAAACUCCAUCUAAAGCUAAAUACUGGUGAGAGACCGAUAGCGAACAAGUACUGUGAAGGAAAGGUGAAAAGAACUUUGAAAAGAGAGUGAAAUAGUAUGUGAAAUUGUUGAUAGGGAAGGAAAUGAGUGGAGAGUGGCCGAGGUUUCAGCCGCCCCUCGUGGGCGGUGUACUGCCGACGCCGAGUCAUCGAUAGCGAGACGAGGGUUACAAAUGGGAGCGCCUUCGGGCGUUCUCCCCUAACCCUCCACACUGCCACCGACGACAUAAUCCACCCAUUUC
This 503-nucleotide ribosomal RNA is filed under the name Yarrowia lipolytica. Its description in RNAcentral is "eukaryotic LSU rRNA". It matches the Rfam family "Eukaryotic large subunit ribosomal RNA", at positions 62 to 646 of the family's 3401-position model. Lineage: Eukaryota; Fungi; Ascomycota; Dipodascomycetes; Dipodascales. The record is from RNAcentral.